GCGGGUCCCUGGCUAAGGCUCCUCCCCGACGAACCCCAUUCCUGCUUUCCCGCUCAAAUGUUGCAUUUUCUAAGACCUCCCUGGCCCGCCAUACGCCGAUCCUGAACCUACGAAAACCCAAGACUGCGGGCACGGUGGCUCAUGCCUGUAAUCCCAGCACUUUGGGAGGCCGAGGCGGGCAGAUCACGAGGUCAAGAAGUCGAGACCAGCCUUGCUAACAUGGCGAAACCCUGACUCUACUGAAAAUACAAAAAUUAGCUGGGCGUGAUGGCGUGCGCGCCUGUAGUCCCAGCUGCUCGGGAGGCUGAGGUAGGAGAAUCGCUUCAAUCCGGGAGGUGGAGGUUGCGGUAAGCAGAGAUUGCGCCACUGCACUCUAGCCUGGCGACAGAGACUCCUUCAAAAACAACAACAACAACAACAACAACAACAAAACAAAACCUCCCAAGACCCUAGUGGGCAGACACACAGCCAGCCAGACAUGGAGAGGAGCACAUUAGCAGAAGAAGACGCAAGUGGCUGGUCCUCGAGAGGACGUUGAGAGGAGCAUGCCAGCAGAAGAGCACACAACGACAGGCACCGACACACCACCGGCAGGCCAUGCACCAGCAGAAUGAUGCGGAGUUUGACGGGGCAGUCAGAGAAGAGCCUGGGCCGCCAAGGGGCCCGACUCCAGGGGAAAACCAUCUCCCUUCUGGCUCCCCCAUCUGCUGAGAGCUACUUCUACUCAAUAAAACCUUGCACUCAUUCUCCAAGCCCACGUGUAAUCCGAUUCUUCAGUGUCACCUCCCAAAUGUGGAAAUGCAUUGUCUUUCUUCUUUCCUAGACCAGUGGUCCUCAAACUUGAGCAGAGCCCAUAUUCACAAUGUAUCACACUUACCUCGAUGUAUUGUCUGGAGUUUCCUAGGCUGUGUCCUUUGCCUGGAAUGCUCUCUCUUGCUGGCUGGCUUCUUCCCACCAGCUGUGGCCAGGGCUGCUCCUUAUUCCUUCGUCAAAACUCCGUCUGCUGGGUGUGGUGCCUCACACCUGUAAUCCCAGCACUUUGAGAGGCCAAGGUGGGAGUAUCGUUUGAGCCCAGGAGUUCAAGACAAGCCUGGACAACAGAGCAAGACCCUGUCUCUACCAAAGAAAAGAAAAGAAAAGAAAAGAAACAGCCACUUUCUCUUCCAUGAGCCAGUUUAUGUUUUCUUCACGGCAUUUGUUACAAAUCACAAAUGUGGAGGAAAAAUGAAGGCAAAGCAAAAUAACAGGCAAGUCUGAAAACAAAAGUGUUGCCAGUCACGCUAAGCCUCAGGCACGCAUUCUGAAUGAAGCUAAAGUUUAAAGUCCCCUCUGAUAGAUUUGUGACUUAAAUGUCCACACUAGCAAGUGUGUUUCUCACAUGGAGAAGUAGCACGAUUUUAUGUCAGGAAAGGGAUGAGAACAUGCUUCUUGAACACAUACAAUGCUGAAGACAUUUCCUGGAAAACCAUUGGCCUUUGCUUAGGACAGUUGCAUCACACAGAGAUGUUUGUGGUUCAGAUUUAUAAGAAACAUGGGAACUGAAGCCAAAGCACUACUUUUGCUCAGUAUAACCAGGUGCCAGAUCUAAAGUGUUAGGCAGGUUCCUAUAUGUAUGUUAGAAAAAAGUUGCCCAAGUUUUGGACAAUUCCUUUUCCAUCUCUCUUACAAGUCAACAAAUCGAAGCAAUAAACUAUUCUCUGAAGAAAACAAAUUUAUUUGGUUGAUUCAAACUUUUAAUGAGACUAUUACUCCCCUGUGUGCCUUUCCUUUCUCUGGUUCUAGAAAUACAUCUAGAAAGGGGGAAAAUGUUAAUAUAUUUUCUACUGACUUUAUAUCACAAAUGCUUAGCUUAGAGGGUGGACUCUGAGGAACAGUGUCCUUUCCAAAUAUUAUAAAACUUUGUGUUCAUUCUGGAAAAACAAACAAAAUUAAUCACAAUGAUUUCCUGCUUUGGAGCAAUGAGAAAUGGGAGGGAAACUUCACCUUUUCAUAGCUUUUGAUGUUUGCACCAUGUGAAUUACCCACCCCCAAAUUUAAAAUACGAAUUUUUGAAAAAGUGUUUACCUCUGAGAAGAGAAACUAGUAGUGAAGAAUGAGGAGCUGUAGAUUUUUAACGAUUCUGAUGUAUUUGCAUUUUUCCCAAUGUUCAUGAAUAAAUAAAUGUGCAUUCAUAAUUAAAAAGAAUAAACAACCUGGAAAAAACAAAAAAAGCUCUGCGUUCACUGAUCUCUAAAUAAGAAAAGAUAAGACUUGUAGUGUGGCCUUGUACUUGUACAUCUUUUCCAUGUGCCAAAGAGCUACCCCAUGGUCAAGCCAAGUGGUGAUUAUGUAGCUUUCUCUGAACAGACAUAAUAGGGCUACACAUUCACUGUGAAAAAGCUGCAGACAGAUGACACCAGUCAACAGAACACCCUACACAGAAACUGUAAAACCAUUUUAAC
Molecule: long non-coding RNA, 2441 nt
Filed under: Homo sapiens (human)
Lineage: Eukaryota; Metazoa; Chordata; Mammalia; Primates; Hominidae
Description: HSALNT0138443
Source: RNAcentral